RNAcentral lists this ribosomal RNA (482 nucleotides) under uncultured bacterium. RNAcentral describes it as "partial 16S ribosomal RNA". It matches the Rfam family "Bacterial small subunit ribosomal RNA", at positions 28 to 523 of the family's 1533-position model. The record is from RNAcentral.
GACGAACGCUGGAGGCGUGCUUAACACAUGCAAGUCGAACGAUGAAAUGGAGCUUGCUCCAUGGAUUAGUGGCGAACGGGUGAGUAACACGUGAAUAACCUGCCCUUAAUUUUGGAAUAACCCAGGGAAACCUGGGCUAAUACCGGAUAAGUAAACCUGUGGCAUCACAUGGUUUUGGAAAGUUUUUCGAUUAAGGAUGGAUUCGCGGCCUAUCAGCUUGUUGGUGAGGUAAUGGCUCACCAAGGCGACGACGGGUAGCCGGCCUGAGAGGGUAACCGGCCACACUGGGACUGGGACACGGCCCAGACUCCUACGGGAGGCAGCAGUGGGGAAUAUUGCGCAAUGGACGAAAGUCUGACGCAGCGACGCCUCGUGAGGGACGAAGGUCUUCGGAUUGUAAACCUCUUUCAGCAGGGACGAAGCGAAAGUGACGGUACCUGCAGAAGAAGCACCGGCUAACUAUGUGCCAGCCGCCGCAGUAA